RNAcentral lists this ribosomal RNA (431 nucleotides) under Migas sp. CG247. Its description in RNAcentral is "partial 16S ribosomal RNA". It matches the Rfam family "Archaeal large subunit ribosomal RNA", at positions 1922 to 2669 of the family's 2987-position model. Lineage: Eukaryota; Metazoa; Arthropoda; Arachnida; Araneae; Migidae. The record is from RNAcentral.
UUCUAACUGAAUUUAACAAUUAGUACAACCUGCUCAAUGAAAUUUCAAUAGCCGCAGUUUAUUCUGUGCUAAGGUAGCAUAAUCACUUGCCUUCUAAUUAAAGGCUAGAAUGAAUGGUUUUUCAUGAGAGACACUUUAUUAAAAAAGUUUCUUAAACUUUAUUUUCAAGUAAAAAUUCUUGAAUUUUUACGAGGGACGACAAGACCCUGACGAACUUAACUUCUGUUGCACUGGGGAGGUGAAAAAACCAACUCUUUUUAUUUUUAAAAGCCCUUCAUAAGGAAUUUUAAACAAGUUACCGCAGGGAUAACAGCAUAAUUUUUCCUAGGAGACCUUAUCUUAAGAAAAGAUUGUGACCUCGAUGUUGAAUAAAUAUUCUCCCAGGAGCAAGAUCUUGGAAAGAAAGUCUGUUCGACUUUUAAUUAUUUACA